AUAAUCCAUUUUGCUUCAUGGCGAAAUGUUGAAAGGCGGCUUCGGCUGUCACUACGAGAUGGGCCCGCGGCGCAUUAGCUAGUUGGUAGGGUAACGGCCUACCAAGGCGACGAUGCGUAGCCGACCUGAGAGGGUGAUCGGCCACACUGGGACUGAGACACGGCCCAGACUCCUACGGGAGGCAGCAGUAGGGAAUCUUCCACAAUGGACGAAAGUCUGAUGGAGCAACGCCGCGUGAGUGAAGAAGGUUUUCGGAUCGUAAAACUCUGUUGUAAGGGAAGAACACGUACGAGAGUAACUGCUCGUACCUUGACGGUACCUUAUUAGAAAGCCACGGCUAACUACGUGCCAGCAGCCGCGGUAAUACGUAGGUGGCAAGCGUUGUCCGGAAUUAUUGGGCGUAAAGCGCGCGCAGGCGGUC
This 421-nucleotide ribosomal RNA is filed under the name Sporosarcina sp. 35Lb. RNAcentral describes it as "bacterial SSU rRNA". It matches the Rfam family "Bacterial small subunit ribosomal RNA", at positions 173 to 580 of the family's 1533-position model. Lineage: Bacteria; Bacillati; Bacillota; Bacilli; Caryophanales; Caryophanaceae. The record is from RNAcentral.